CGCCUCUUGAAACUACAUAAGAGGUCCAGCCUGCCCAGUGACUAAGUUCAACGGCCGCGGUAUCCUAACCGUGCGAAGGUAGCGUAAUCACUUGUUCUUUAAAUGAGGACUAGUAUGAAUGGCACCACGAGGGUUAUGCUGUCUCCUUUUUCUAAUCAAUGAAACUGAUCUCCCCGUGAAGAAGCGGGGAUAUAUCUAUAAGACGAGAAGACCCUAUGGAGCUUUAAAUCAUGUAACACUGGCUUUCACAUUAAAAUAUUCCAGAAUUUUCAUAAUUACUCUAGCCAAUAUGAUUACUAGUUUUAGGUUGGGGUGACCACGGAGCAAAAAUUAACCUCCAUGUUGAACGGAGCUACUCCUGAGCCAAAAGCCACGACUUUAAGCACUAAUAAAUUAACAUUAAUUGACCCAAUAUUUUUGAUCAACGAACCAAGUUACCCUAGGGAUAACAGCGCA
Molecule: ribosomal RNA, 456 nt
Filed under: Dendropsophus aff. minutus
Lineage: Eukaryota; Metazoa; Chordata; Amphibia; Anura; Hylidae
Description: partial 16S ribosomal RNA
Rfam family: Bacterial large subunit ribosomal RNA
Source: RNAcentral